UGUUAGUGUACAUGUUUUUAACUCCAAAAAAAUCAGCAAGUAAUUUUUCUUAUAAUCAGAGACAUAUAUAAAGACAAUUGUAUGUCUCUGAUAAAAUAUUCAUCACAAUUUGGCAUAUCUUUAAAUAAAUAUAAGGCUAUUGACUCCCAUUCACAAUUCUCAUAUACUUUUCAAGAGGCGAAAACAUAGUAAUUGUUAUUUU
RNAcentral lists this long non-coding RNA (202 nucleotides) under Mytilus galloprovincialis (Mediterranean mussel). The record is from RNAcentral. Lineage: Eukaryota; Metazoa; Mollusca; Bivalvia; Mytilida; Mytilidae.